RNAcentral lists this ribosomal RNA (479 nucleotides) under uncultured bacterium. Its description in RNAcentral is "SSU rRNA". It matches the Rfam family "Bacterial small subunit ribosomal RNA", at positions 27 to 520 of the family's 1533-position model. The record is from RNAcentral.
GGGACGAACGCUGGCGGCGUGCUUAACACAUGCAAGUCGAACGGUGAAGCCUUUCGGGGUGGAUCAGUGGCGAACGGGUGAGUAACACGUGAGUAAUCUGCCCUUGACUCUGGGAUAACUUCGGGAAACCGCGGCUAAUACCGGAUAUGACGCAUGGUCGCAUGGUCUGUGUGUGGAAAGAUUUAUUGGUCAGGGAUGAGCUCGCGGCCUAUCAGCUUGUUGGUGGGGUAAUGGCCUACCAAGGCGACGACGGGUAGCCGGCCUGAGAGGGCGAGUCGGCCACACUGGGACUGAGACACGGCCCAGACUCCUACGGGAGGCAGCAGUGGGGAAUAUUGCGCAAUGGGCGGAAGCCUGACGCAGCGACGCCGCGUGAGGGAUGAAGGCCUUCGGGUCGUAAACCUCUUUCAGCAGGGAAGAGGCUUUGGGUGACGGUACCUGCAGAAGAGCACCGGCUAACUACGUGCCAGCAGCCGCGU